UUCGAUUUUGGAGGGCAAGUCUGGUGCCCAGCAGCCGCGGUAAUUCCAGCUCCAAUAGCGUAUAUUAAAGUUGUUGCAGUUAAAAAGCUCGUAGUUGAAUUUCGGGAUUGACGUGAUGGUCGUGCCUUAAGGGGUAUGAACUGUCGCAGUUGAUUUCUCACCUUCUGGAGAAGCACGAUGUCCUUAAUUGGGUGUCAUGUGGAACCAGGACCUUUACCUUGAAAAAAUUAGAGUGUUUAAAGCAGGCAUUUUGCUCGAAUACAUUAGCAUGGAAUAAUAGAAUAGGACGGCAUGGUUCUAUUUUGUUGGUUUCUAGGAUCACCGUAAUGAUUAAUAGGGAUAGUUGGGGGCAUUAGUAUUCAAUUGUCAGAGGUGAAAUUCUUGGAUUUAUUGAAGACUAACUACUGCGAAAGCAUUUGCCAAGGAUGUUUUCAUUAAUCAAGAACGAAAGUUAGGGGAUCGAAGACGAUCAGAUACCGUCGUAGUCUUAACCAUAAACUAUGCCGACUAGGGAUCGGAUGAUGUUAAUUUUUUAAUGACUCGUUCGGCGCCUUACGGGAAACAAUCACUAGUGA
This 575-nucleotide ribosomal RNA is filed under the name uncultured Glomus. Its description in RNAcentral is "SSU rRNA". It matches the Rfam family "Eukaryotic small subunit ribosomal RNA", at positions 536 to 1106 of the family's 1831-position model. The record is from RNAcentral. Lineage: Eukaryota; Fungi; Glomeromycota; Glomeromycetes; Glomerales; Glomeraceae.